Non-coding RNA from Misgurnus anguillicaudatus (oriental weatherfish), 1542 nucleotides. NCBI's taxonomy places the organism in Eukaryota, Metazoa, Chordata, Actinopteri, Cypriniformes, Cobitidae. The record is from RefSeq and is a predicted model, not a curated record.
CCCAGUCUCAUGUAAAAACGUACCCUGACUACGUUGGUCCAAUUUGCAAAACGUAGAGGGGUUACAAUAAUGGCCCUAGAAUUGUAUGACUGUUACAUUUUUUUUCGCCUAUUCUUUUAAUGGCCCUUGAAUUGUAUGACUCUUACGUUUUUUUUUUCGUCCAAGUCACGUGACUUUCAAGCUACCGGCCGUGAGAACAAAAAACAUGGCGGACAUUCUCUCAUUUUUAGUGGAAAAAUCUAUAUUUUGAGUUAGUUUCUGAAUAAAAAGAAGUUUUGAUUACAUUUCUAGCGAGAAAUAUAUAUUUUAUUUUCAUAAUAUUCACUCAGUGAAUUUACAUAAUCAUCGCUUGCUCGCUUUUACGCAGAUUUUUCAGAUCUCGCCAGAAUAAUGUGAAACUGAUACGUUUUGGUUGCUAUGGACACUGCCAGGGCUCGUCGCAUGACGUCUUUUAAAGACUUUAUUAAAACCGCGUUCAGCUACAGGUAAAACAACAUUCAGAGGUGAUUUUAACAACGCUCCACGGCGCGUGAGCAUUUUAAGCGUUUUCUGAUCAUGUAGGUGUGCCACUGUGGGUGGCUCGCGCACAUCCGUGGCUACGCCCCGCCGUGACCCAAAUCUCGUUCGCACAUCAUCGCGAUGUUUAUCAUCAAUUUACAAACCUCGCCAGUCGCCUCAUCUUUAUUAGCCUAUCCCCUGUAUGUCAUCGAUGCGCUACUUCAAAGAUGUGAGGAAAAGAACUGCGAGUAGUCUGUUACAUUGCCUGUGUUAUUGCCUCACAUUUGCAGAAAUCAGGGGAGGGCAUAUCACACAACAUCUCCUUAGACUUACCAGCAUUUCAUGUUUAUGGACACAAAUUGCCCUGCCAGAUGAAGUACAGUACCAGAUGGCUUGAUGGGUUUGGGCUCACAGACGGGGAAGGAAUGGAAAGGCUGUGGUCUUUCCUCCAAAGAUUUGCCAGAGUCACAAAGGAGAUGACUCCAUCUCAUCGCCUUGACCUACUGACUGAUGCCCUUUUGCAUUAUGGACGGAGGAAAUCAACUGACCUAGGUGCAGCUACUGCAAAGAGUAGACAAAGCAGAGAAAAUAUUGAUUCUUGCUCAGGAAGAUAUCUCAUGUCAUCAGAGAGGCACCAGUGUUGAUUUCUGAAGGAGACAUGGAGAGAUGGAAAAAAGCUAGCCCAACAGAAACCAAUAAACACUGUCUGUAGAUGGAAAAGGGACUACAUCAUCAGACUGAUCCAGUUCUACAAGUUCAAAAUUGAGGACUCUGCUGAACAUUGAGGAAAAAUACCGUAUCGGGAGAAGAUGGCAAGAGUCUGAUUCAAACUUCCAGUCUACCCUUAAAGAUGUGGACCGUGAGCUCAGAGUCCAAAUGCAAGGCUAGAACUGAAUCAAGGGAGAGAGCAGUCCUCCUCCACCUGAGAAGAAUAUAUCCAGCUUUGCUUCAGAUGGGCAGGGCAUUGCCAUUAGAUUCUCCAAGCAGGUAGCCAAUUGAUUUUCAGGAAUCAUGUGAUCCCUCUUGGCAUGUCUACUUCUGUUU